GAUGAACGCUAGCGGCAGGCCUAAUACAUGCAAGUCGAACGAUAUUACCCAGCUUGCUGGGUAUGAAAGUGGCGCACGGGUGCGUAACGCGUAUGCAACCUACCUUAUUCAGGGGGAUAGCCCGAAGAAAUUCGGAUUAACACCGCAUAGAAUCACAGUUCAGCAUUGGACAAUGAUCAAAUAUUUAUAGGAAUAAGAUGGGCAUGCGUGUCAUUAGCUAGUUGGCGGGGUAACGGCUCACCAAGGCGACGAUGACUAGGGGAUCUGAGAGGAUGACCCCCCACACUGGUACUGAGACACGGACCAGACUCCUACGGGAGGCAGCAGUAAGGAAUAUUGGUCAAUGGAGGCAACUCUGAACCAGCCAUGCCGCGUGCAGGAAGACGGCCCUCUGGGUUGUAAACUGCUUUUAUUCGGGAAUAAACCUAUUUACGUGUAAAUAGCUGAAUGUACCGAAGGAAUAAGGAUCGGCUAACUCCGUGCCAGCAGCCGCCGUAA
RNAcentral lists this ribosomal RNA (498 nucleotides) under uncultured bacterium. RNAcentral describes it as "partial 16S ribosomal RNA". It matches the Rfam family "Bacterial small subunit ribosomal RNA", at positions 28 to 523 of the family's 1533-position model. The record is from RNAcentral.